CUCCUCUCGAGCUAUAGCCAGUGUGCGGGGCGUUCUCGAGCGCACUGAAGGGAAGAACAUUGCCACGAGCUCACCGUGCACUGCUGCUCUCGCGCUCACACUAGAAAACUAUGGAAACUUGCAACUUGAAGAAAGCGGUGCGUGCACUCCUGCGGGUCUGUCUGUCGAGUGCUUGCAUUCUGCACGCUUGUCUAGGUGGAAGUUUAUACGUCAGAGAUAUCUCAGACGAGGAAACAACUACAGACACGUACGGCGACUACAACAACAUCAUUGAGUAUGAAUAUUAUGAUAAUUCUUCAUUGUAUGACUAUCGGGACUUCGAGGUGAUAGGCAUUGACUCAGCACACAGGCUUGUCUUGCCCUGGUAUCUACUAGGGAUCUGCGUGUUGGUUUUCCAGACUCUCUGCGCACUGUGAACCAGGUAUCCAAGCUGCUUCAGAGCAUCACUGAAACAAGCUAAAUAAAGUUACAGAAAUCAUUAUGGGAUCAUUUUGGGAUGCAGGGAGAAUUUACUGCAGCUUUCACACACUGAACUGCGUCACUUUGUAAUAGUUUGAGUUCCAUGCAUAUGAGAGCAAUGCCACUUCAUGGGAAAUCUCAGGUAUUGCCACAGCAAGCCAUUCAAAUGAUUUUCUGUCAAACAGUGGAAACAUCUUCUUGGUCUCCUUGUUAAAACACGCAGUAAACGAUGAAGGAUCUUCAUGAAACUCUGUACACUCGCAGGGAUUCAGGUGAAUUCGGGAUGCAAUUUGAACUAUUUCAGGACCAAGCAUUUUUCAGUGGGAUGCUCCCCCAGGACCAGGCAUUUUUCAGUGGGAUGCUCCCCCAGGACCAGGCAUUUUUUGUUAUAAAAAUUUACUAAAAAAAAAAUCCAUUUUUUACAGUAGCAUCUUGGAAAUGGUUUCCUUUUUUCAGAACACUCUGGGGAACAUUAUAAAGUACUUCAGGAACCAUACACACUUUUUGCUUUUUUCAUAUAUAUAUAUAUAGUGCCUAUAGAAAGUCUACACCCCCUUUCAACAAAAUGUUCACCAUUUGUUGCCUUAAAAUGCAUUAAUAUAUCUUUUUUCUUCAUUUAUCUACACAUCCUACCCCACAACUUCCAAGUGAAAAAAAUAUUCUGGAAAUUUGUAGAUAAUUAAUUAAAAAUAAAAACUGAAAUAGCUUGGUUCGAUAAGUGUUCAUCCCCCUUGUAAUAGCAAUCCUAAAUUAGCUCAGGUGUAACCAAUCGCCUUCAAAAUCACACACCAAGUUAAGUGGCCUCCACCUGUGUUAAAUUGUAGUGAUUCACAUGAAUUCAGGAUAAAUUCAGCAGUUCCUGUAGGUUCCCUCUGCUGGGUAGUGCACUUCAAAGCAAAGACUCAACCAUGAGCACCAAGGCGCUUUCAAAAGAACUCCGGGACAAAGUUGUUGAAAGGCACAGAUCAGGGGAUGGGUAUAAAAAAUAUCAAAGGCCUUGAAUAUCCCUUGGAGCACGGUCAAGACGAUUAUUAAGAAGUGGAAGGUGUAUGGCACCACCAAGACCCUGCCUAGAUCAGACCGUCCCUCCAAACUGAAUGACCGAGCAAGAAGGAGACUGAUCAGAGAGGCUACCAAGAGGCCAGUGGCAACUUUGCAAGAGCUACAGGCUUUUAUGGCCAAGACUGGUCAAAGUGUGCAUGUGACAACAAUAUCCCAAGCACUCCACAAAUCUGGCCUGUAUGGUAGAGUGACAAGAAGGAAGCCAUUUACUCAAGAAAGCCCACUUUGAAUCCUGUUUGAAGUAUGCAAAAAAACACUCUGUAGCCAUGUGGCAAAAAGUUUUGUGGUCUGACAAAACUAAAAUUGAACUUUUUGGCUUAAAUACAAAGCGUUAUGUUCGGCUCAAACCCAAAACAGCACAUCACCCAAAGAAAACCAUCCCUACUGUGAAACGUGGUGGUGGCUGCAUCAUGUUAUGGGGAUAUUUCUCAUCGGCAGGGACUGGGGCACUUGGAUAGAAGGGAAAAUGAAUGGAGCAAAGUACAGAGAAGUCCUUGAAGAAAACCUGCUGCCCUCUGCAAGAAAGCUGAAACUGGGACAGAAGUUCCCUUUUCAGCAUGACAACGACCCAAAGCACACAGCCAAAUCUACACUGGAGUGGCUAAGGAACAAAAAGGUAAAUGUCCCUGAGUGGCCCAGUCAGAGCCCCGACCUAAACUCAAUCGAAAAUUUGUGGCAUGAUUUGAAGAUUGCUGUCCAUCAGCGCUUCGACAGCGCUUGAACAGUUUUGUAAAGAAGAAUGGUCAAAUAUUGCCAAAUCUAGGUGUGCAAAGUUAGUAGAGACCUAUCCCAACAGACUCGCAACUGUAAUUGCUGCCAAAGGUGCUUCCACCAAGUAUUAACUCAGGGGGGUGGAGACUUAUCCAGUUAUGAUCUUUCAGUUUUGUAUUUUUAAUAUAUCAUUUUUUUCUCAAUAAAAGCUUGUUUCCUCUUAACAGUGUGGAGUAUGGUGUGUAGAUAAGUGGAAAAAAAUCCUCAUUUAAAUGCAUGAAACUCUGAGGCACUGACACAACAAAAUGUGAAAAAAGUUCAAGGGGGUGUAGACUUUCUAUAGGUACUGUGUAUAUACAUAUAUAUAUAUAUAUAUUUAUAUAUAUAUAUAUAUAUAUAUAUAUAUAUAUAUAGUGAAAGCUGUCUUACUGACAUCAAGGUAUGGAUGUCUAAUAAUUUCCUUAUGUUAUCCUUCUUAUCGCCUAUAAAGCCCUAAACGGUUUGGCCCUGGUCUGUUUGAAGGCUCUUUUGGUCCCGUAUGCCCCUGGCUGGCCCCCCUGCUCCCAAGAUGCAGGGCUGCUAUCUGUCCCAAGGAUUUUAAAGCACAGGACAGGUGGUAGAGCAUUCAGUCACAGGGCACCUGAACUCUGGAAUGCUCUACCAUGCACAGUGAGAGACCCACCUACACUGGCAUUUUUUAAAAAGAAAUUAAAAACAUACUUUUAUAAUAGGGCUUUUAUAUCUUUAUAAUAUUUCUUUUUUUAUAUAUAGUUGUAUUCCUAUUUAUUCGGUUUGAGUUCCUUAUCUGUAGCUUUAAUUUGCUUGAAUUUUAAAAUGUUGUUUUCUCUUGCUGUUUUUAUUGUUUAUAUUGUUGUUAUUGUACUAAAUGUUCUUCUGAAUGUCUUUUCUUUUUGUUAAAAGCGCUUUGGGAUGGGUUGCCAUGAAAGGCACUUUAUAAAUAAAAUUUGAUCUAUAUAUAUAUAUAUAUAUAUAUACACUGAACAAACAUAUAAACGCAAAAUGUAAAGUGUUGGUCUCAUGUUUCAUGAGCUGAAAUAAAAGAUCCCAGAAAUGUUCCAUAUGCACAAAAAGCUUAUUUCUCUCAAAUUUUGUGCACAAAUUUGUUUACAUCCCUGUUAGUGAGCAUUUCUCCUUUGCCAAGAUAAUCCAUCCACCUGACAGGUGUGGCAUAUCAAGAAGCUGAUUAAACAGCAUGAUCAUUACACAGGUGCACCUUGUGCUGGGGACAAUAAAAGGCCACUAAAAAAUGUGCAGUUUUGUCACACAACACAAUGCCACAGAUGUCUCAAGUUUUGAGGGAGCGUGCAAUUGGCAUGCUGACUGCAGGAAUGCCCACCAGAGCUGUUGCCAGAGAAUUGAAUGUUCAUUUCUCUACCAUAAGACGCCUCCUACGUCGUUUUAGAGAAUUUGGCAGUACGUCAAACCGGCCUCACAACCGCAGACCACGUGUAACCACGCCAGCCCAGGACCUCCACAUCCGGCUUCUUCACCUGCGGGAUCGUCUGAGACCAGCCACUCAGACAGCUGAUGAAACUGUGGGUUUGCACAACCGAAGAAUUUCUGCACAAACUGUCAGAAACCGUCUCAGGGAAGCUCAUCUGCGUGCUCGUCGUCCUCACCAGGGUCUUGACCUGACUGCAGUUCAGCGUCGUAACCGACUUCAGUGGGCAAAUGCUCACCUUCGAUUGCCACUGGCAGGCUGGAGAAGUGUGCUCCUCACGGAUGAAUCCCAGUUUCAACUGUACCGGGCAGAUGGCAGACAGCGUGUAUGACGUCGUGUGGGCGAGCGGUUUGCUGAUGUCAACGUUGUGAACAGAGUGCCCCAUGGUGGCGGUGGGGUUAUGGUAUGGGCAGGCAUAAGCUACGGACAACAAACACAAUUGCAUUUUAUCGAUGGCAAUUUGAAUGCACACAGAUACCGUGAUGAAAUCCUGAGGCCCAUUGUCGUGCCAUUCAUCCACCGCCAUCACCUCAUGUUUCAGCAUGAUAAUGCACGGCCCCAUGUCACAAGGAUCUGUACACAAUUCCAGGAAGCUGAAAAUGUCCCAGUUCUUCCAUGGCCUGCAUACUCACCAGACAUGUCACCCAUUGAGCAUGUUUGGGAUGCUCUGGAUCGACGUGUACGACAGCAUGUUCCAGUUCCCGUCAAUAUCCAGCAACUUCACACAGCCAUUGAAGAGGAGUAGGACAACAUUCCACAGGCCACAAUCAACAGCCUGAUCAACUCUAUGCGAAGGAGAUGUGUCGCGCUGCAUGAGGCAAAUGGUGGUCACACCAGAUACUGACUGGUUUUCUGAUCCACGCCCCUACCUUUUUUUUUAAGGUAUCUGUGACCAACAGAUGCAUAUCUGUAUUCCCAGUCAUGUGAAAUCCAUAGAUUAGGGCCUAAUGAAUUUAUUUCAAUUGACUGAUUUCCUUAAAUGAACUGUAACUCAGUAAAAUCUUUGAAAUUGUUGCAUGUUGCGUUUAUAUUUUUGUUCAGUAUAUAUAUAU
Molecule: long non-coding RNA, 4746 nt
Organism: Acipenser ruthenus (sterlet)
Lineage: Eukaryota; Metazoa; Chordata; Actinopteri; Acipenseriformes; Acipenseridae
Exons: 5
Source: RefSeq, a predicted model, not a curated record